GCCUAGGUAGCUCAGUCGGUAGAGCAGAGGACUGAAAAUCCUCGUGUCGGGGGUUCAAUUCCCUCCCUAGGCACCA
Molecule: transfer RNA, 76 nt
Filed under: Pseudomonadota bacterium
Lineage: Bacteria; Pseudomonadati; Pseudomonadota
Description: Proteobacteria bacterium (cold seep metagenome) tRNA-Phe
Rfam family: tRNA
About the family: Transfer RNA (tRNA) molecules are approximately 80 nucleotides in length. Their secondary structure includes four short double-helical elements and three loops (D, anti-codon, and T loops).
Source: RNAcentral